This 803-nucleotide ribosomal RNA is filed under the name uncultured archaeon. RNAcentral's name for it is "bacterial SSU rRNA". It matches the Rfam family "Archaeal small subunit ribosomal RNA", at positions 119 to 923 of the family's 1478-position model. The record is from RNAcentral.
GUUGGGUAUAAACCCGGGAAACUGGGUAUAAUACCCGAUAGGUCUCGAUUGCUGGAAUGCAUCGAGAUUUAAAGCUCCGGCGCCUAAGGAUGGGUCUGCGGCCUAUCAGGUAGUAGUGGGUGUAGCGUACCUACUAGCCUACGACGGGUACGGGUUGUGAGAGCAAGAGCCCGGAGAUGGAUUCUGAGACACGAAUCCAGGCCCUACGGGGUGCAGCAGGCGCGAAAACUUUACAAUGCUGGCAACAGCGAUAAGGGAACCUCGAGUGCCAGGUUACAAAUCUGGCUGUCGAGAUGCCUAAAAAGCAUUUCAUAGCAAGGGCCGGGCAAGACCGGUGCCAGCCGCCGCGGUAACACCGGCGGCUCGAGUGGUAACCGUUAUUAUUGGGUCUAAAGGGUCUGUAGCCGGCCGGAUAAGUCUCUUGAGAAAUCUGGCAGCUUAACUGUCAGGCUUUCAGGAGAUACUGUCUGGCUCGGGGCCGGGAGAGGUGAGAGGUACUUCAGGGGUAGGGGUGAAAUCUUGUAAUCCUUGAAGGACCACCAGUGGCGAAGGCGUCUCACCAGAACGGACCUGACGGCAAGGGACGAAAGCUAGGGGCACGAACCGGAUUAGAUACCCGGGUAGUCCCAGCUGUAAACGAUGCAGACUAGGUGUUUGGACGGCCACGUGCCGUUCUAGUGCCGCAGGGAAGCUGUUAAGUCUGCCGCCUGGGGAGUACGAUCGCAAGAUUGAAACUUAAAGGAAUUGGCGGGGGAGCACCACAAGGGGUGGAGCUUGCGGUUUAAUUGGAGUCAACGCCGGGA